GACGAACGCUGGCGGCGUGCUUAACACAUGCAAGUCGAACGGUAAGGCCCUUCGGGGUACACGAGUGGCGAACGGGUGAGUAACACGUGGGUGAUCUGCCCUGCACUUCGGGAUAAGCCUGGGAAACUGGGUCUAAUACCGGAUAGGACCACUGCCUGCAUGGGUGGUGGUGGAAAGCUUUUGCGGUGUGGGAUGGGCCCGCGGCCUAUCAGCUUGUUGGUGGGGUGAUGGCCUACCAAGGCGACGACGGGUAGCCGGCCGGAGAGGGUGACCGGCCACAGUGGGACUGGGGUACGGCCCAGACUCCUACGGGAGGCAGCAGUGGGGAAUAUUGCACAAUGGGCGCAAGCCUGAUGCAGCGACGCCGCGUGAGGGAUGACGGCCUUCGGGUUGUAAACCUCUUUCAGCACCGACGAAGCGCAAGUGACGGUAGGUGCAGAAGAAGGACCGGCCAACUACGUGCCAGCCGCCGCCGUAA
Molecule: ribosomal RNA, 478 nt
Filed under: uncultured bacterium
Lineage: Bacteria
Description: partial 16S ribosomal RNA
Rfam family: Bacterial small subunit ribosomal RNA
Source: RNAcentral